RNAcentral lists this ribosomal RNA (231 nucleotides) under uncultured bacterium. RNAcentral's name for it is "partial 16S ribosomal RNA". It matches the Rfam family "Bacterial small subunit ribosomal RNA", at positions 546 to 776 of the family's 1533-position model. The record is from RNAcentral.
CGGAUUGAUUGGGCGUAAAGCGCACGUAGGCGGGUUUUUAUGUCGAAUGUGAAAGCCCUGGGCUUAACCUGGGAAUUGCAUCCGAAACUAUAGAUCUUGAAUGCUUAAGAGGUUGGUGGAAUGUCUGGUGUAGGAGUGAAAUCCGUAGAUAUCAGAUGGAAUAUCGGAGGCGAAGGCGGCCGACUGGUGAUGCAUUGACGCUGAGGUGCGAAAGUGCGGGGAGCAAACAGG